Molecule: long non-coding RNA, 216 nt
Filed under: Elaeis guineensis (African oil palm)
Lineage: Eukaryota; Viridiplantae; Streptophyta; Magnoliopsida; Arecales; Arecaceae
Description: long non-coding RNA (EGUI_LNC068306)
Source: RNAcentral
AUACACUCCGAUUCUAGGUUCGGAUCAACCUUCCCUUAUUUUGAAAUCCUUCCAAAACAAAAAUAAUAACUCAAAAUGAGAAUAACAAUCAAUAGCAGAAAAUAAGUACAAAGAAAGCUCCUUUAAUGAGCGAAUAUGACUUUAAAUACACUUUACUCAAGAGAAGAAGACCCUUUUUGGAUUUUCUCAAGGUGGUUGGAGACUUGAAUGUGCACU